This 202-nucleotide long non-coding RNA is filed under the name Mytilus galloprovincialis (Mediterranean mussel). Lineage: Eukaryota; Metazoa; Mollusca; Bivalvia; Mytilida; Mytilidae. The record is from RNAcentral.
UAUAGAUUAGUUGUUCUCACAUACUUGACCUUUGAAGGCAUCUGAGGAAAUAUGUAAAGCAGACGCCGAUUAUAGAAACCCUAUUCCGACCGAUUGUUUUGUUUCUUUGUCUUUUGAUUUAAUAGGGACAACAUAAUUCACUUGCGUAUAAUUAUAUUAACUCUAUUUAUUGUCACUGUAAAGUAACGGAGAAAUAUAUCCC